CGCUUGCGGCUGCUUACCAUGCAAGUCGAGCGGAGUGAUGGUGCUUGCACUAUCACUUAGCGGCGGACGGGUGAGUAAUGCUUAGGAAUCUGCCUAUUAGUGGGGGACAACAUUUCGAAAGGAAUGCUAAUACCGCAUACGUCCUACGGGAGAAAGCAGGGGAUCUUCGGACCUUGCGCUAAUAGAUGAGCCUAAGUCGGAUUAGCUAGUUGGUGGGGUAAAGGCCUACCAAGGCGACGAUCUGUAGCGGGUCUGAGAGGAUGAUCCGCCACACUGGGACUGAGACACGGCCCAGACUCCUACGGGAGGCAGCAGUGGGGAAUAUUGGACAAUGGGCGCAAGCCUGAUCCAGCCAUGCCGCGUGUGUGAAGAAGGCCUUAUGGUUGUAAAGCACUUUAAGCGAGGAGGAGGCUACUGAAGUUAAUACCUUCAGAUAGUGGACGUUACUCGCAAAAUAAGCACCGGCUAACUCUGUGCCAGCAGCCGCGGUAAUACAGAGGGUGCAAGCGUUAAUCGGAUUUACUGGGCGUAAAGCGCGCGUAGGCGGCUAAUUAAAUCAAAUGUGAAAUCCCCGAGCUUAACUUGGGAAUUGCAUUCGAUACUGGUUAGCUAGAGUGUGGGAGAGGAUGGUAGAAUUCCAGGUGUAGCGGUGAAAUGCGUAGAGAUCUGGAGGAAUACCGAUGGCGAAGGCAGCCAUCUGGCCUAACACUGACGCUGAGGUGCGAAAGCAUGGGGAGCAAACAGGAUUAGAUACCCUGGUAGUCCAUGCCGUAAACGAUGUCUACUACCGUUGGGGCCUUUGAGGCUUUAGUGGCGCACUAACGCGAUAAGUAGACCGCCUGGGGAGUACGGUCGCAAGACUAAAACUCAAAUGAAUUGACGGGGGGCCCGCACAAGCGGUGGAGCAUGUGUUUUAAUUCGAUGCAACGCGAAGAACCUUACCUGUCCUGGACAUAGUAAGAACUUUCCAGAGAUGGAUUGGUGGCCUUCGGCACCUUACAUACCUGUGCCUGCAUGCUUGUCGUCAGCCUCCUGCCCUGGAAUGUUUGGGUUAAGUGCCGUCAACAAGCCACACCCCUUCUUCCUUAUUCUGCCACUAUGUA
This 1103-nucleotide ribosomal RNA is filed under the name Acinetobacter sp. RNAcentral describes it as "bacterial SSU rRNA". It matches the Rfam family "Bacterial small subunit ribosomal RNA", at positions 34 to 1130 of the family's 1533-position model. Lineage: Bacteria; Pseudomonadati; Pseudomonadota; Gammaproteobacteria; Moraxellales; Moraxellaceae. The record is from RNAcentral.